GAUGAACGCUGGCGGCGUGCCUAAUACAUGCAAGUCGAGCGAACAGACGAGGAUCUUGCUCCUCUGACGUUAGCGGCGGACGGGUGAGUAGCACGUGACUAACCUACCUAUAAGACUUGGAUAACUUCGGGUAACCGGAGCUAAUACCGGAUAAUAUAGUGAACCGCAUGGUUCAAUAGUGAAAGACGGGUUUGCUGUCACUUAUAGAUGGAUCCGCGCGGCAUUAGCUGGUUGGUAUGGUAACGGCUUACCAAGGCGCCGAUGCGUAGCCGACGUGAGAGGGUGUAGGGCCACACUGGAGCUGAGACGCCGCCCAGAGUCCUACGGAAGGCAGCGGUAGCGAAGCUUCCGCGAUGGGCGAAAUACUGAAGGAGCGGCGCCGCGUGGGUGAUGAAAGUCUUCGGAUCGUAAAACUCUGUUAGUAGGGAAGAACGAUUGUGUAAGUAACUAUGCACUGCUUGACGGUACCUAAUCAGAAAGCCACGGCUAACUACGUG
Molecule: ribosomal RNA, 497 nt
Filed under: uncultured bacterium
Lineage: Bacteria
Description: partial 16S ribosomal RNA
Rfam family: Bacterial small subunit ribosomal RNA
Source: RNAcentral